CCUACGGGAGGCAGCAGUGAGGAAUAUUGGUCAAUGGGCGAGAGUCUGAACCAGCCAAGUAGCGUGAAGGAUGACUGCCCUAUGGGUUGUAAACUUCUUUUAUAAGGGAAUAAAAUGUUCCACGUGUGGGAUUUUGUAUGUACUAUAUGAAUAAGGAUCGGCUAACUCCGUGCCAGCAGCCGCGGUAAUACGGAGGAUCCGAGCGUUAUCCGGAUUUAUUGGGUUUAAAGGGAGCGUAGGUGGGUUGUUAAGUCAGUUGUGAAAGUUUGCGGCUCAACCGUAAAAUUGCAGUUGAGACUGGCAGUCUUGAGUACAGUAGAGGUAGGCGGAAUUCGUGGUGUAGCGGUGAAAUGCUUAGAUAUCACGAAGAACUCCGAUUGCGAAGGUAGUUCACUAGACUGCCACUGACGCUGAGGCACGAAUGUCAGGGGAGCGAACAGGAUUAGAUACCCGAGUAGUC
RNAcentral lists this ribosomal RNA (460 nucleotides) under uncultured bacterium. RNAcentral's name for it is "partial 16S ribosomal RNA". It matches the Rfam family "Bacterial small subunit ribosomal RNA", at positions 338 to 795 of the family's 1533-position model. The record is from RNAcentral.